Molecule: ribosomal RNA, 253 nt
Filed under: uncultured bacterium
Lineage: Bacteria
Description: partial 16S ribosomal RNA
Rfam family: Bacterial small subunit ribosomal RNA
Source: RNAcentral
UACGAAGGGGGCUAGCGUUGCUCGGAAUUACUGGGCGUAAAGCGCACGUAGGCGGCUUUCUAAGUCGGGGGUGAAAUCCUGGAGCUCAACUCCAGAACUGCCUUCGAUACUGGAGAGCUCGAGUCCGGGAGAGGUGAGUGGAACUGCGAGUGUAGAGGUGAAAUUCGUAGAUAUUCGCAAGAACACCAGUGGCGAAGGCGGCUCACUGGCCCAUUACUGACGCUGAGGCACGAAAGCGUGGGGAGCAAACAGG